Molecule: ribosomal RNA, 253 nt
Filed under: uncultured bacterium
Lineage: Bacteria
Description: partial 16S ribosomal RNA
Rfam family: Bacterial small subunit ribosomal RNA
Source: RNAcentral
UACGUAGGGACCAAGCGUUGUCCGGAUUCAUUGGGCGUAAAGCGCGUGUAGGCGGCCCGAUAAGUCCGUUGUGAAAGUUCAGGGCUCAACCCUGGGAUGCCGGUGGAUACUGUCGGGCUCGAGUCCGGAAGAGGCGAGUGGAAUUCCUGGUGUAGCGGUGAAAUGCGCAGAUAUCAGGAGGAACACCAAUGGCGAAGGCAGCUCGCUGGGACGUGACUGACGCUGAGACGCGAAGGCGUGGGGAGCAAACAGG